RNAcentral lists this long non-coding RNA (407 nucleotides) under Anser cygnoides (Swan goose). RNAcentral's name for it is "lncRNA (ENSACDG00005011365.1)". The record is from RNAcentral. Lineage: Eukaryota; Metazoa; Chordata; Aves; Anseriformes; Anatidae.
GAGGAGGCCAGAAAGGAUGUCAUACAGGGUACUUACUCCUUCAAUGAGUCCAUUUUGAUUGCAGAUCUGAAGACAUUUCUUCAAAAUGGCAAGUGAGGUGAUUUAUGCAGAGGUAUCACGUGAGGAAAGAAUGCGUUUUACUUCACAAAAUUCAGACGCAGGUGAUCAGAUCACCUAUGCUGAGGUGAAAGUGAAAUGGAAAUCUGACAACACCAACAAUACAUCCACGUCUACACAUACAACAGUGGCCUGCUAUGAGAGCAAACACUGGUGUUAUGUUGCCAUCAUCCUGUACUUCGUUGCAGUGAUUCUGCUCAUCUGUGUGAUCCUUUUAGCUGUGAAAUGUAAUAAUUCCUGAGGCAGAUGGUGCAGUCCAGUUAACAAACAGAGUAAGACAUUUUUAUCCU